UCCGGUUGAUCCCGCCGGACCUGACUGCUAUCGGAUUGAUACUAAGCCAUGCGAGUCAUUGCAGUAAUGCAAGGCAGACGGCUCAGUAACGCGUAGUCAACCUACCCUAUGGACGGGAAUAACCUCGGGAAACUGAGUAUAAUGCCCGAUAGAACACUAUUCCUGGAAUGGUUUGUGUUCCAAAUGAUUUAUCGCCGUAGGAUGGGACUGCGGCCUAUCAGUUUGUUGGUGAGGUAAUGGCCCACCAAGACUAUUACAGGUACGGGCUCUGAGAGGAGUAGCCCGGAGAUGGGUACUGAGACACGGACCCAGGCCCUAUGGGGCGCAGCAGGCGAGAAAACUUUGCAAUGUGCGAAAGCACGACAAGGUUAAUCCGAGUGGUUUGUGCUAAACGAACCUUUUGACAGUCCU
Molecule: ribosomal RNA, 411 nt
Filed under: uncultured archaeon
Lineage: Archaea
Description: bacterial SSU rRNA
Rfam family: Archaeal small subunit ribosomal RNA
Source: RNAcentral